UACGUAGGGCGCAAGCGUUGUCCGGAAUUAUUGGGCGUAAAGAGCUCGUAGGCGGCUUGUCACGUCGGGUGUGAAAGCCCGGGGCUUAACCCCGGGUCUGCAUUCGAUACGGGCUAGCUAGAGUGUGGUAGGGGAGAUCGGAAUUCCUGGUGUAGCGGUGAAAUGCGCAGAUAUCAGGAGGAACACCAAUGGCGAAGGCAGAUCUCUGGGCCGUAACUGACGCUGAGGAGCGAAAGCGUGGGGAGCGAACAGG
This 253-nucleotide ribosomal RNA is filed under the name uncultured bacterium. RNAcentral describes it as "partial 16S ribosomal RNA". It matches the Rfam family "Bacterial small subunit ribosomal RNA", at positions 524 to 776 of the family's 1533-position model. The record is from RNAcentral.